Molecule: ribosomal RNA, 431 nt
Filed under: uncultured bacterium
Lineage: Bacteria
Description: partial 16S ribosomal RNA
Rfam family: Bacterial small subunit ribosomal RNA
Source: RNAcentral
AGCGAACGCUGGCGGCAGGCUUAACACAUGCAAGUCGAGCGCCCCGCAAGGGGAGCGGCUGCCGGGAGGGUAACAGGGGGGAACAUACCUAUUGGUUCGGAACAACUCAGGGAAACUUCAGCUAAUACGGGACAAGCUCUUAAGGGGAAAGAUUUAUCGCCGAACGGUUGGCCCGCGUCUGAUUAGCUAGUUGGUGAGGUAACGUCUCACCAAGGCGACGAUCAGAAGUUGGUCAGAGAGUAACAUCAGCCACACUUGGACUAGGCCACGGCCGAGACUCCUACGGGAGGCAGGAGAGGGGGAUAUUGGACAAUGGGGGCAACGCUGAUCCAGCCAUGCCGCGUGAGUGAUGUAGGCCUUAGGGUUGUAAAGCUCUUUUGCCCGUGAACGUAAUGACGGUACCGGGUCAGUAAGCCACGGCUAACUUCGUG